UACGAAGGGGGCAAGCGUUAUUCGGAAUUAUUGGGUGUAAAGGGCGCGUAGGCGGUGUAAAAAGUCUGUAGUGUAAUUCUCUGGCCUAACUGGAGCACUGCUAUAGAUACUAUUACGCUAGAGUAUGGAAGAGAGAAGUGGAAUUCUCGGAGUAGCGGUAAAAUGCGUAGAUCUCGAGAGGAACGCCAAUGGCGAAGGCAGCUUCUUGGUACAUUACUGACGCUGAGGCGCGAAGGCGUGGGGAGCAAACAGG
This 253-nucleotide unclassified non-coding RNA is filed under the name uncultured bacterium. Its description in RNAcentral is "contains 16S-23S intergenic spacer region". It matches the Rfam family "Bacterial small subunit ribosomal RNA", at positions 524 to 776 of the family's 1533-position model. The record is from RNAcentral.